Molecule: transfer RNA, 87 nt
Filed under: Holosporaceae bacterium
Lineage: Bacteria; Pseudomonadati; Pseudomonadota; Alphaproteobacteria; Holosporales; Holosporaceae
Description: tRNA-Leu
Rfam family: tRNA
About the family: Transfer RNA (tRNA) molecules are approximately 80 nucleotides in length.
Source: RNAcentral
GCCUCUGUGGCGGAAUUGGUAGACGCGAUAGACUCAAAAUCUAUUGUUCAUUAGGACGUGGGGGUUCAAGUCCCUCCAGGGGCACCA